CCUACGGGAGGCAGCAGUGAGGAAUAUUGGUCAAUGGACGGAAGUCUGAACCAGCCAUGCCGCGUGCAGGAAGACUGCUCUAUGAGUUGUAAACUGCUUUUGUACGAGGGUAAACCUGUCCACGUGUAUUCAUCUGUAAGUACCGUAUGAAUAAGGAUCGGCUAACUCCGUGCCAGCAGCCGCGGUAAUACGGAGGAUCCAAGCGUUAUCCGGAUUUAUUGGGUUUAAAGGGUGCGUAGGUGGAUUGAUAAGUUAGUGGUGAAAGUUUGGGGCUCAACCGGGGAACUGCAGUUGAUACUGUUGAUCUAGAGAGCAGGAGAGGUAGGCGGAAUGUGUGGUGUAGCGGUGAAAUGCUUAGAGAUCAUGAAGAACACCGAUUGCGAAGGCAGCUUAC
This 394-nucleotide ribosomal RNA is filed under the name uncultured bacterium. Its description in RNAcentral is "partial 16S ribosomal RNA". It matches the Rfam family "Bacterial small subunit ribosomal RNA", at positions 338 to 729 of the family's 1533-position model. The record is from RNAcentral.